CGAAUUAAGCAUUUUUUUAUUUAUUUAUAAUUGAUUAGUAAAAAAUACUAUCAUUAUAUAUAUUAGCUUUUCACUAAAUAUACCAAACAACAAACAUGGCGUUUUUCCACAUGGCGUUGAAAAAAAAAUAUGGUUGCUAUCUUUACACUAGAGAAGGGGUUCAUAUUUCAAUAUUUUUAUACGGUGUAAAUUUUAAGAAAAUAAGUUAUAUGUGAUUAAAAUUAGCAUCAUAAGUAUACAACUUAAUAUUACGCGACAAUAUAUUGGCACCAUUCGUGCGUAUAGUGGCGGGAAACAUUUUUUUCUAAAGGAAUUUUUUGGUUCCAUAAAAUGUUUUUGGGUUCAUGAAUCAAACGUUUAUCGUCUAUUGCAACGUCUAACUUCUCUAUUGAGGAAGUCUCAACUUAUUGUUGAUAAAAUAAUAGUUUUAUUUUUAUUUUAUUAAAAUAAAAUGAAUACUUACUGUUCAAUUGAAAUAUAAGCCGCAAAUUGUUGUUAAAAACUGUUUUAUAUUAAAUGUUAUUUUAAAAGUUAAGUAAUAUAGUAUUUUUAUGUAA
Molecule: long non-coding RNA, 557 nt
Organism: Hydra vulgaris (swiftwater hydra)
Lineage: Eukaryota; Metazoa; Cnidaria; Hydrozoa; Anthoathecata; Hydridae
Source: RefSeq, a predicted model, not a curated record